UACGAAGGGGGCUAGCGUUGCUCGGAAUCACUGGGCGUAAAGGGUGCGUAGGCGGGUCUUUAAGGCAGGGGUGAAAUCCUGGAGCUCAACUCCAGAACUGCCUUUGAUACUGAGGAUCUUGAGUUCGGGAGAGAUGAGUGGAACUGCGAGUGUAGAGGUGAAAUUCGUAGAUAUUCGCAAGAACACCAGUGGCGAAGGCGGCUCACUGGCCCGAUACUGACGCUGAGGCACGAAAGCGUGGGGAGCAAACAGG
RNAcentral lists this ribosomal RNA (253 nucleotides) under uncultured bacterium. RNAcentral describes it as "partial 16S ribosomal RNA". It matches the Rfam family "Bacterial small subunit ribosomal RNA", at positions 524 to 776 of the family's 1533-position model. The record is from RNAcentral.